This 468-nucleotide ribosomal RNA is filed under the name uncultured bacterium. Its description in RNAcentral is "partial 16S ribosomal RNA". It matches the Rfam family "Bacterial small subunit ribosomal RNA", at positions 28 to 507 of the family's 1533-position model. The record is from RNAcentral.
GACGAACGCUGGCGGCGUGCUUAACACAUGCAAGUCGAACGGAAAGGCCCUGCUUUGGUGGGGUGCUCUGGUUGCGAACGGGUGAGUAACACGUAAGUAACCUGCCCUUGACUGUGGGAUAACUUCAGGAAACUGGGGCUAAUACCGGAUAGGAUCUCCUGCUGCAUGGUGGGGGUUGGAAAGUUUCGGCAGUUGGGGAUGGACUGGCGGCUUAACAGCUUGUUGGUGGGGUAGUGGCUUACCAAGGCUUUGCCGGGUAGCCGGCCUGAGAGGGUGACCGGACACAUUGGGACGGAGCUACGGCCCAGCCCACUCUGGGAGGCAGGAGUGGGGUAUAUUGUACUAUGGGCGGAAGCCUGACCUAGUCAAGCAGCGUGGGGGAUGACGGCAUUCGGUUUGUAAACCGCUUCCGCCUGUGCCGAAGCGUGAGUGACGGUACUGGGUAAAGAAGCACCGGCUAACUACGUG